AAGAUUUUAAGUUAAAAAAACUAUAUACCUUCAAAGUAUAAAUUAAAUAAUAAAAUUUAAAUCUUA
Molecule: transfer RNA, 66 nt
Filed under: Ixodes cornuatus
Lineage: Eukaryota; Metazoa; Arthropoda; Arachnida; Ixodida; Ixodidae
Description: tRNA-Trp
Source: RNAcentral